This 85-nucleotide transfer RNA is filed under the name Felis catus (domestic cat). It matches the Rfam family "tRNA". From Rfam's summary of the family: Transfer RNA (tRNA) molecules are approximately 80 nucleotides in length. Their secondary structure includes four short double-helical elements and three loops (D, anti-codon, and T loops). Lineage: Eukaryota; Metazoa; Chordata; Mammalia; Carnivora; Felidae. The record is from Rfam by way of RNAcentral.
GCCUGGGUGGCUCAGUUGGUUAAGCGUCUGACUUAAGCUCAGGUCAUGAUCUCAUGGUCCGUGGGUUUGGGCCCCACGUCAGGCU